This 496-nucleotide ribosomal RNA is filed under the name Burkholderia sp. Hu75A. Its description in RNAcentral is "bacterial SSU rRNA". It matches the Rfam family "Bacterial small subunit ribosomal RNA", at positions 37 to 525 of the family's 1533-position model. The record is from RNAcentral. Lineage: Bacteria; Pseudomonadati; Pseudomonadota; Betaproteobacteria; Burkholderiales; Burkholderiaceae.
UAAUGGGGGCUGCUUACCAUGCAGUCGAACGGCAGCACGGGUGCUUGCACCUGGUGGCGAGUGGCGAACGGGUGAGUAAUACAUCGGAACAUGUCCUGUAGUGGGGGAUAGCCCGGCGAAAGCCGGAUUAAUACCGCAUACGAUCUACGGAUGAAAGCGGGGGACCUUCGGGCCUCGCGCUAUAGGGUUGGCCGAUGGCUGAUUAGCUAGUUGGUGGGGUAAAGGCCUACCAAGGCGACGAUCAGUAGCUGGUCUGAGAGGACGACCAGCCACACUGGGACUGAGACACGGCCCAGACUCCUACGGGAGGCAGCAGUGGGGAAUUUUGGACAAUGGGCGAAAGCCUGAUCCAGCAAUGCCGCGUGUGUGAAGAAGGCCUUCGGGUUGUAAAGCACUUUUGUCCGGAAAGAAAUCCUUGGCUCUAAUACAGUCGGGGGAUGACGGUACCGGAAGAAUAAGCACCGGCUAACUACGUGCCAGCAGCGGGCCGGUAAUA